CUUAAAAAUCACUGGUUUUUUUACCAAAUGGAUUUUAUAAAUAAGUUGAACCAAAAGUUUGAAUUUUGUAACAAGUUGCUUUCAUUUAAUAAUCAAACAUACACACCCGUAGCUAUCGCCAUGCCAUCUCCCCGCCUCUUUACUUUUCACUUUACAAUCUUUUUUAUUUUCUCUUCUAGCUCUUUUUUUUUCCAGCCAAGAGAGAUCACAUUAGUAAGGAAAAUCCUAUCCAAACAGCAUCCACAUCAAAAUAGGCUCAAAACAUGCAUUGGCCUAUCAAAACAUCAUACACAAUGUCUCAAUAGACAUAAACCAAUUCAUGACAGAGAACCUAAAAUACUAAUUGAUCUUUGGUUCCUACCCUUAUACUGUAAGUAUAUCCUCUUCUGA
This is a non-coding RNA of Vicia faba (fava bean), 390 nucleotides long. The record is from the annotation of a GenBank genome assembly. Lineage: Eukaryota; Viridiplantae; Streptophyta; Magnoliopsida; Fabales; Fabaceae.